UAGGCCAUUUCGGGCACGCCGUA
This 23-nucleotide non-coding RNA is filed under the name Arabidopsis thaliana (thale cress). Lineage: Eukaryota; Viridiplantae; Streptophyta; Magnoliopsida; Brassicales; Brassicaceae. The record is from RNAcentral.